GAAAAAAAUAUUCACGCUCGUUAGGCACACGCGAAAGGGUCGUGUCAAAAUUGGCGUCGCGUGCGCGUCUCUCUCGCGGGAGUACAAAGGAAUCGAGAUUAAUCGCUGUUGAAUUUGGUUACGAUAAAAAAAGAUGUGAGUUUCGAAAAUUUUAUCCUUGUAAAAGAAAGAAGAAAAGGAAUUGCGCGUCGAAAAAAAUUAAUUUACAAUUAUAAAACAUUAUGAUUAAUAUGUACAAUAUAAUAUUGAUCUAUACUACUUAAAAUUAUAACUCUUAUUCUUACGCAAAAGGUAAGAUUUAUAUUCAUAUUAAGAGUAGCAAAAUUUUAUCAAAUUUAAGAUAUAUUAUUUAGAAAAAUAAUAAACAUAUGUAUAUAUCCUUUCGACUAUAUUUAUCGAUAAUAAACUUCGGAGAUAAUUCAUUAAAAAAUUCCCUACACUUUUUCCGAAAUUCUUUGCAUAACUGUAUGAAUAUAAAAAGUCUUUCUUUUAAAUACCAAAGUUUAAGAGAAAAAUCGUAACUAUUACUAUAACUUGCGUUGAACCUGACAUGUUCGCUCGGACGGGAUCGAUCUCGUUUUCACGAUCGAGAUUGAGGGAAAUGGGAUGGCGGCGAGUGCUGUUAAGGCAAAGGACCAUCGCAGCUGCGUUCAAAAGCCACUCUCCCAGACGAUCAGUGACCGCCAUACCGAUAUCGCCCACGAUCGUAGCCAGAAGGCAGCCCGCGGUACGCCGAGCUCCAUCGCGAGCGUUUCAAGCCGCAUACAUGCAUUCAUGUAUGAGCCGUGAGAACCUAACUGUGAACGCUCACCGUUGCUCGCCAUCGGAGAGCCAGACGGAUCCGUGGUCGACCGACUGGCCGGCGAGGUCAAAGGGCAGCGCGCCGGCCGAUUUUGCAUGAAGGCGCACUUUCGUUUUUCGACCCCACGACCCGCACGAACGACAGAAAGGAAAGGGAGAAACGCACAGAGCAAACAAGACUGAGAGACAGCAGGGAGGACGGAGAACAGAUUAUCAUGAAUACAGUGAGAGAGAGCUUUAUCGACUUUAUUCGCCACAGAUUGCCACGCGGGCGCGCGCAGAAAAGCAAUCUACGGAAAAUGCAAAUAGGAGAUUCACCAAACUUUCCCCGACUCGAUAAAUUAACCGGCUGCCAGCCUUAUCCUCCUUCCAGACCCGACCCCCGGACCAAGGGCGGCCGGUAGUGGAUGAAGUUUGCGAGACAGAAGGGGCGGAAAUAGAAAGAAUAACUGCGGAGCGAGAGAAUAGGGAAAACUACAUUAUUUAUCACCUACCUAGACUUGCAGACAUCAUUUAUCACCGCGCGAUAAAUAUUCCGUUGCUGAAAUAUCGAUACGUACGAUAAUCAAUCUUUAAACUGAUGCGCGAUUAGACGUCUACGACUGAAAUAAAUUAAAACAACUGCUCUACAACGACGGAUUCAAUUUUAAAACCAAUCUUAAUUCUUUCUGCAAUUUGCGAUUCAGUUUCAUAAUAUUUUAUUUCAAUGAUUUAGAUUUUUGAUUUUUUUUUUCACAUUCCGACUUCUCCAAAUUCGUUAGGCUGUCAAUGCUUUUUGCUUUACGCUUCCUUAUAAUUUUUUACUUGCAAACGGGAUUUUUCGUAAAUAAAGUAACACGAUCAAAAAGCCUAAUGUGUUGAGCCGUGACUAAUCGAUGAUCGCAAUAAUAAGGCUCAUCAAAAUCUUCGCGGCGAAACACUUGUCCUUGCCCUAUCGCAACGGCCAUGACCUCGCCUAACAAAUGUUUGUCGGCAUUCGAAGCUCUUCCGUCAGAGCAUACGGGGAACCCGUGACAAAAUAGAACGGACAGUGACGUAAGCUUCCGUAAAAUGCCGUGAUGUCCAGAUUGGUACCGUGAAUCGGUUUUGCUGAAUCAACGAUUAGAUCAGCGUUAAUUGGCAAUAGGUUUGAUGACGGAUGAGCCUUUCGAUUUUCAGCGGCCUUGACGCCUGCCAUGUCUUCAAUUCAACGCUAGAGCAAGUGUGUCGCAUGCAAUUUUCACCGUCAUCUUAUAAAAAGCUUUGCCGAUAUUCGAUAUUUUAAAAACACCGUAACACUACUCUAACAUGUUUUAUUUAAAUUAGUAAAUCAAAUUAUUAUGACCUCGCUGGAAAACGUUUGUCUGCACAUCGAAAAAUUGAAUACACGCUCUAAGAUAGGUAUUCGCAAAAUGCAUACAUCACAGCUUGAAUUAGAAGCUCGAGGAGUAGUUAAGAUAUACGCGCUCGAGGCAAUAAAUGCUCCGAAUGUCAGUCUUGUCGUCACAGCUGUAACUCCAGACGCAUUACUAUAAAACACCGUGAAAAUGUCAGCCGCACCGUGGAAGAUUGUAAAUUUAUCGCUGAUUGCGUUUCGCUGAGUAGCGAGUGUCUAUAAACCGCGACUAUUAAAAAAGAAAGAACCGGUCGUUCUCCGUCGGUGCUAUGCGUCAUCGUUGUUAUCAUCACCGGCCGAUUGACAGAAACGAGCCUGUACGCAUUGUCGUGUUGUAAAAAAACAUGUCAAUCCACGGAGUGUGACGUGUGAUUUGAUGAUUCUACUGCUGCGAUAGCCUUCUAUUCAAUAAUUCAUCAAUUCCAAUUAAAUCUAAUUCUCGUAAAAAAAAAAGAAACGUUUAUUUAUAAGACAAUUAUCUUUGAGCGCAGUGUAUAAUUAUGUAUAAUUAUAUUUUAAGAAAUAUGAGAAAAACUGAGUUUUUGAGUUAAA
Molecule: long non-coding RNA, 2728 nt
Filed under: Monomorium pharaonis (pharaoh ant)
Lineage: Eukaryota; Metazoa; Arthropoda; Insecta; Hymenoptera; Formicidae
Description: uncharacterized LOC118644839
Source: RNAcentral